UAUUAUUUUAGCGGCGGACGGGUGAGUAACGUGUGGGUAACCUGCCUUUUACUAUGGAAUAAUCGUUGGAAACGACGACUAAUACCGCAUACGGUUCUUGGAAGGCAUCUUCUAAGAAAGAAAGGAGUAAUUCGGUAAAAGAUGGGCCCGCAUCUGAUUAGCUAGUUGGUGAGAUAAUAGCCCACCAAGGCAACGAUCAGUAGCCGACCUGAGAGGGUGACCGGCCACAUUGGGACUGAGACACGGCCCAAACUCCUACGGAAGGCAGCAG
RNAcentral lists this ribosomal RNA (271 nucleotides) under uncultured bacterium. Its description in RNAcentral is "partial 16S ribosomal RNA". It matches the Rfam family "Bacterial small subunit ribosomal RNA", at positions 85 to 354 of the family's 1533-position model. The record is from RNAcentral.